This 1164-nucleotide long non-coding RNA is filed under the name Gallus gallus (chicken). Its description in RNAcentral is "long non-coding RNA NONGGAT005463". Lineage: Eukaryota; Metazoa; Chordata; Aves; Galliformes; Phasianidae. The record is from RNAcentral.
AUUGGUGUUCACAUCUUUCCUCUCUGUAGGGAAAAGGGCUGGCUGCAGGAAGGGGAUCAGAUCAUGGUGUUUGUUGCCCAGUGACUUCUGGGGGGACUUUAAGUCAGAACAGCCUCUGGUAUCUGCUCUGAGUUUCUGCUACUUUCGUCACUAAUGACUUAAGCUGCUGUAUCCCAUGCUGUGCUCAUGAAUGAGACUGCCUCUGCUUCAAGGACGCUUCCAGGCAGCAGCAAGUGAUGAGAGAAUCCAAUUAAUUACUGAAUGUUUUCCGGCAAUCUGGCUGUCUCGUAGCUCAGUGCAAACACUGAGCUGCUUCUAAUUGCAGGUUCAGCAGCUUUUAUUUUAGUCAAGGUUUGUUAAGACAACAGCCAGUAAGUCACCUAUGGCAGCCUUAUGUACUUAACUGUGUGAACUGCCCCCUGCCUGAACCCAGGCCUCAGGAGGAGAUUAGUGUGUUCUAAAUCAAAACUAAGAUUAACUAGAAAAUGACCUAAUGUUCUAAUUAAUCCCCUUUUCCUUCAAAAACUGUUCCUGCAUAAUUUGACAUUCUUUUGAAGUACAGAUAAUCCAUUUCUUCACAAGAUGUUAAAAUGCCUGCUUUGAAAACAGCGUUUUAAAAUAUGUUUCAGCAGUGGAAUACGUUUAUCUUUAGGGGCAGGUAGAGGGGCAGUUCUCAGUCACAAAACACAGAGGCAGUACAACUGCAAAAGAAUGUUUUUGUUUAAAACCCUGUGCAUAACUGUCCAAAGAAUCCAAAGCCAUGUUGCAGUCAUACUGCCACAAUGCUCAGGGUUAGGAAGUUACUCUGCUCUACCAACAGCAUCUUCUGGGAGCUGCAGCGUACUGUUUCUGAUUAAAUUACAGCUACAGCUCCCACAUCAGCCUCAAGUUGUGCUUUCACUGUCCCUUGAACAGUUUCAUCACCCAUAGUGGGACUUGAAGUCAGUAAAGGCAAGUUGUAGUUUCAGUCCAGGGCACAAACAUGCUAUGCAACACCAAAUGGCUUCUUCCCACAGAGUCCUAAUUCCUUUACAGUAAGCGUACCAGCUUUAUCUCAGCCAGACGCGAUCCAUGAAACCUUCUGGUGGCUGGAGUUUACCUAUGGCUUUCCACAGUUCUGUUUUCCUUUUGAAUAAGGAUCCAGCAUACAGCCCAGGACUGGAU